This 118-nucleotide non-coding RNA is filed under the name Chloropicon laureae. Lineage: Eukaryota; Viridiplantae; Chlorophyta; Chloropicophyceae; Chloropicales; Chloropicaceae. The record is from RNAcentral.
AUUUUCCUAUCAUUUUACCCCUUUUAUUGCCACUUUUCUGGUCUUUUAACUUCUUUCAGCGAAUGAGAGAGAGAGAGGGAGGUUUUGGAGCGUUUGGAGAGUAGAAAAGACACCACAA